Long non-coding RNA from Tetranychus urticae (two-spotted spider mite), 869 nucleotides. RefSeq lists it as uncharacterized. Lineage: Eukaryota; Metazoa; Arthropoda; Arachnida; Trombidiformes; Tetranychidae. The record is from RefSeq and is a predicted model, not a curated record.
UAAGUUUCAUUUUGGAAAUGGGUGUUUGUUGGUUUGUUGAUCACUGGUAACGGAUUCAAAUUAAACUGGUUAAUUAUUAGCCAUUUGGUUUGUCUUUAUAUAACUCAAGGAUAAUCUCUCGUUAAUUAAGAUCUAUCGUAUUCUGGGAAAAACAAUGGUGUGCGUCAUGGCUAUUGUUGGGAUCAUCGAUUCACAAUCGAUUCCAUUGUUAUUCACAUUUCUCAUUGUUCAUAGAUAAGAUGAUAAAGGAAAAGAAUGGAUUUAAAAUGCCUGAUAAUUACAAAGGUUGAAUAUUAUUUCGUAUCAUUCUGUCGAUCUGGUUUUAUCCCAAUCAAUAUCCUAGGAUUGAACCAUCACGGUGUUAACAAUCUUGAUCAGUGUUCAACAAUUAAUACUAUUCAGAUUAUUAGAAUAAAAUUUUGCAAUGACUGAUCCAAAUUACAAGCCUCAUUCAAAGGUUCAAUGUCAUCAUGAUAUUACGUUCGAUUAGUGAUAUUAAAGGAGGAAGGCCAAAACUGCCUGAAAAAAGAAAUUUCUUGUGAUGAACGUAUAUGAUGUAAAACUAUAUGCUGAAUUCAUUUCGUCAAUCCAUUUUCAAAAUAAUGAUUUCGUUUUUGAGAUAUCAUGAAAUAACGUAGAAAUGCAUGGGAAAGAAUAGCAAAAUAAUCAAAGGUGAAAGCACUUUCUAGAUAACUUUUUCAGAUGUAAAAUUCAAUUCCGAUUUCAGUGGAGUGAUUCAUUUUGACCAAAACUGGCGCAAAACUGGCCAUUUUUUCGAAAAAUGUAAUACUGUCAAACCCCCGAUAAUGUCACACUCUCAAAAUGUCACAGAGUCAUGGUAACGAAAUUAAAAAAUUUAAUUUAAUUCA